This 504-nucleotide ribosomal RNA is filed under the name uncultured Glomeromycotina. RNAcentral's name for it is "SSU rRNA". It matches the Rfam family "Eukaryotic small subunit ribosomal RNA", at positions 569 to 1077 of the family's 1831-position model. The record is from RNAcentral. Lineage: Eukaryota; Fungi; Glomeromycota.
AGCAGCCGCGGUAAUUCCAGCUCCAAUAGCGUAUAUUAAGGUUGUUGCAGUUAAAAAGCUCGUAGUUGAAUUUCAGGCCUGGCUGGACGGUCCGCCCUUCGGGUGAGUACUGUCUGUGGUCGGGUCCUACCUUCUGGCGAAGCGUCAUGGCCUUAACCGGCCGUGGCGGGGAACCAGGACUUUUACUGUGAAAAAAUUAGAGUGUUCAAAGCAGGCAAUCGCUUGGAUACAUUAGCAUGGAAUAAUGGAAUAGGACAAUGGUUCUAUUUGUUGGUUUCUAGGACCGUUGUAAUGAUUAAUAGGGAUAGUUGGGGGCAUUAGUAUUCAAUUGUCAGAGGUGAAAUUCUUGGAUUUAUUGAAGACUAACUACUGCGAAAGCAUUUGCCAAGGAUGUUUUCAUUAAUCAAGAACGAAAGUUAGGGGAUCGAAGACGAUCAGAUACCGUCGUAGUCUUAACCAUAAACUAUGCCGACUAGGAAUCGGGCGAUGUUGAAAAAAUGACGC